CCUACGGGUGGCAGCAGUCGAGAAUCAUUCACAAUGGGCGAAACCCUGAUGGUGCGACGCCGCGUGGGGGAAUGAAGCUCUUCGGAUUGUAAACCCCUGUCAUGUGGGAGGAAAUUAAAACGAUCGUACCACAAGAGGAAGAGCCGGCUAACUCUGUGCCAGCAGCCGCGGUAAUACAGAGGUCUCAAGCGUUGUUCGGAAUCACUGGGCGUAAGGGGUGCGUAGGCUGUUUCGUAAGUCGUGUGUGAAAGGCGCGGGCUCAACGCGCGGACGGCACAUGAUACUGCGGGACUAGAGUAAGGGAGGGGGAAGCGGAAGGCGGGGUGUAGCAGGGAAAUGCGGAGA
This 345-nucleotide ribosomal RNA is filed under the name uncultured bacterium. RNAcentral describes it as "partial 16S ribosomal RNA". It matches the Rfam family "Bacterial small subunit ribosomal RNA", at positions 338 to 694 of the family's 1533-position model. The record is from RNAcentral.